This 332-nucleotide long non-coding RNA is filed under the name Elaeis guineensis (African oil palm). RNAcentral describes it as "long non-coding RNA (EGUI_LNC045717)". Lineage: Eukaryota; Viridiplantae; Streptophyta; Magnoliopsida; Arecales; Arecaceae. The record is from RNAcentral.
UGGCCAAAAUAGGAUGAUAAUUAGAAAGCGAUUUCUAAUGUAUCAUUAAUUGAAUCAUCACCUUUUGAUCCAGAUAUAUUUAGAUAAGCAAUUGGGCUUGACAUGAUUCCAUUUCCACAGCUCAUCUAGGAUGUUGUUUGACUGAAAGAUUGAAUUACAUGGUAACUUACUACUGAAGAGUAUUUUGAUAAUUUCUAUCAAAUUUUAUCUCUUUCGAUAAUCAUAACAUAUUGCUAGAUAUCAAUCUUGACUUGUAGACUCAUUGAAAUUAAAAAAGUUUAAUUCAAGAAUUAAUUAAGAAGAGUCCUAAUUAAUUGGGAUGCUUGGGUUGA